UACGUAGGUGGCAAGCGUUGUCCGGAUUUACUGGGCGUAAAGAGCGCGCAGGCGGUUGUUUAAAUCGAAUGUGAAAGCCCCCGGCUCAACUGGGGAGGGUCAUUCGAUACUGAUCGACUUGAAGGCAGGAGAGGGAAGUGGAAUUCCGGGUGUAGUGGUGAAAUGCGUAGAUAUCCGGAGGAACACCAGUGGCGAAGGCGACUUCCUGGCCUGUUCUUGACGCUGAGGCGCGAAAGCUGGGGGAGCAAACGGG
RNAcentral lists this ribosomal RNA (253 nucleotides) under uncultured bacterium. RNAcentral describes it as "partial 16S ribosomal RNA". It matches the Rfam family "Bacterial small subunit ribosomal RNA", at positions 524 to 776 of the family's 1533-position model. The record is from RNAcentral.